This 465-nucleotide ribosomal RNA is filed under the name uncultured bacterium. RNAcentral describes it as "partial 16S ribosomal RNA". It matches the Rfam family "Bacterial small subunit ribosomal RNA", at positions 28 to 507 of the family's 1533-position model. The record is from RNAcentral.
GACGAACGCUGGCGGCGUGCUUAACACAUGCAAGUCGAACGGUGAACUCCGCUUGCGGGGGGAUCAGUGGCGAACGGGUGAGUAACACGUGGGCAACCUGCCCUCAGCUCUGGGAUAACUCCAAGAAAUUGGGGCUAAUACCGGAUAUGACCGCUGACCGCAUGGUCUGGUGGUGGAAAGAUUUAUCGGCUGGGGAUGGGCCCGCGGCCUAUCAGCUUGUUGGUGGGGUAGUGGCCUACCAAGGCGACGACGGGUAGCCGGCCGGAGAGGGUGACCGGCCCCACGGGGACACUGAGCCCGGCCGAAGCCCGAAGGGAGGGGAGGGGGGGGAAAAUGGUCCGAAGGCGCAAAGCCGUACCCAGGCCCCCCGGGGGUGGGAAGCGACGCUGUCGGUUCAACACCUCUCAAAGAAGGGAAGAAAGGGGAGUGAAGGGACCCCGAGAAGAAACACCGGCCAACUCCGGG